AAAAUCGAAGAGUCUUAAUGAGACCGACAGUGAUGACACUUUGAAUUGGUUUGAUAGUAUAGCAGAAGGUAACAUGGAAAGUGAGAAGGUCAGUUGUAAUUUUCCAGUUGCAGUAACAUCUCAGGACAAUCCGGCUUUGGAAGCAACGAAUAGUAGAUCUUCUAAAAAGACCAACUGUUUAAGAGAAUCUGAGCAAACCAAGAAGAGGGAAUCAGUGACCAAAAAAUACCAGGGGAACUCUUGUAUACAGACUAUUUUUGCCCUUGAGAGGACACAAAAGCCUAUAAACUCCCCUUCAGGGACAGUCCAUAAAGGUUCAGAUGCUACACCUAGCACACCUAACUUGAUCAUUACUCAAAGGGCCUCUAAGAAGUGGCAGAAGAGAAAUAUUGAAAGCAUUAAGAGAUUUUGUAUGAAUACAGCAGAUUCCAAGACUGAGGAUACUCAAUCUUCAUUAUCUUCUCAUUCUGCAAUUAUCCCAGAUUGUCCUGAAAAAGAUACCGGGGCUUCUCUGUGUCACAGUGUGCCUUCGAGGCAUUUGACAUCAACAUCUUUAAAUCGGAAGCGAAAUAGAGACCAAACCAACAAAGUAAGAAAUUGCAAUGAACCUGUCAUCCCUGAGAAAUCAGAAGCUGCCCCUACUAAGUUUGCAAAGUUUUCCUUUCAACGAAAGCCUAAGCUUUCUCUGUCUCCUGAAAAUGAGGAACGUCAGACAUUACAGGAAACUAUUUACAACCCUGACCUUUUUACCCAAAGUACAUCAAAAGGAGAAAAUCUGAGGGAAGAAGAUCCUGAUAAACAUCAGGAAAGCAACAGUCUUAACCCAGGAAAUACGGCCAAGGAGAAACAAGCCUGUAAAAACAAGAAAGAGGAAGACAAGCCAAAGCCAACUAAAGCCACAGCCAUUUCUUUUACAAAUACGUCAGGGACAAGAAUAACAAAUUUGGAUGGUCAAAAUUCAAGAAAAGUGUGCCCCAGCACUUUAGCAAAGCUAGCAAAGUUUGCCUUUAUACCAUCAGAUGAAUCUCCAGUUUCUUUGAAUAUCACCACUAAUGAAAAAGUGAGAGAAAGGCAGCCAUUGAAGACUCAGAAAGAUUGUGCAGAACCCAC
This 1110-nucleotide long non-coding RNA is filed under the name Notechis scutatus (mainland tiger snake). RNAcentral's name for it is "lncRNA (ENSNSUG00000004015.1)". Lineage: Eukaryota; Metazoa; Chordata; Lepidosauria; Squamata; Elapidae. The record is from RNAcentral.